Molecule: ribosomal RNA, 492 nt
Filed under: uncultured bacterium
Lineage: Bacteria
Description: partial 16S ribosomal RNA
Rfam family: Bacterial small subunit ribosomal RNA
Source: RNAcentral
AGUGAACGCUGGCGGUAGGCCUAACACAUGCAAGUCGAACGGCAGCACAGUAAGAGCUUGCUCUUACGGGUGGCGAGUGGCGGACGGGUGAGGAAUACAUCGGAAUCUACUUUUUCGUGGGGGAUAACGUAGGGAAACUUACGCUAAUACCGCAUACGACCUACGGGUCAAAGCAGGGGAUCUUCGGACCUUGCGCGAUUGAAUGAGCCGAUGUCGGAUUAGCUAGUUGGCGGGGUAAAGGCCCACCAAGGCGACGAUCCGUAGCUGGUCUGAGAGGAUGAUCAGCCACACUGGAACUGAGACACGGUCCAGACUCCUACGGGAGGCAGCAGUGGGGAAUAUUGGACAAUGGGCGCAAGCCUGAUCCAGCCGUACCGCGUGGGUGAAGAAGGCCUUCGGGUUGUAAAGCCCUUUUGUUGGGAAAGAAAAGCAGCAGGUUAAUACCCCGCUGUUCUGACGGUACCCAAAGAAUAAGCACCGGCUAACUUCGUG